This 473-nucleotide ribosomal RNA is filed under the name uncultured beta proteobacterium. RNAcentral's name for it is "bacterial SSU rRNA". It matches the Rfam family "Bacterial small subunit ribosomal RNA", at positions 8 to 480 of the family's 1533-position model. Lineage: Bacteria; Pseudomonadati; Pseudomonadota; Betaproteobacteria. The record is from RNAcentral.
AGAGUUUGAUCCUGGCUCAGAUUGAACGCUGGCGGCAUGCUUUACACAUGCAAGUCGAACGGUAACGCGGGGGCAACCCUGGCGACGAGUGGCGAACGGGUGAGUAAUACAUCGGAACAUGUCCUGGAGUGGGGGAUAGCUCGGCGAAAGCCGGAUUAAUACCGCAUACGCUCUGAGGAGGAAAGCGGGGGACUCGUAAGGGCCUCGCGCUGCAGGAGUGGCCGAUGUCGGAUUAGCUAGUUGGUGAGGUAAAGGCUCACCAAGGCGACGAUCCGUAGCUGGUCUGAGAGGAUGAUCAGCCACACUGGGACUGAGACACGGCCCAGACUCCUACGGGAGGCAGCAGUGGGGAAUUUUGGACAAUGGGGGCAACCCUGAUCCAGCCAUGCCGCGUGAGUGAAGAAGGCCUUCGGGUUGUAAAGCUCUUUCGGACGGAACGAAAUGGUUACAGUGAAUAACUGUGAUUGAUGACG